GGCACUUAGUCUGCAUACCACUCACUGGCAAAGAAUAUCCUGCUAGUAGGAUGCGAAGUGUCCAAAAAGAUUCAACUUGGACUGGACUGGAACUAUGCCAUCUGCCGCCUUCCUGGAUGUUCAGUUUGCCCGCUGCAAAUCCUGAGAUUUCUCAGCCUCCACAGUCAUCCUUCAGAUGGGAUCCUCUGUGUGGUGAAUGUUGUGGCGGGCCACCAAAAGACCCCUACAGGAAUGGAGAGUUGAUUUCCCUGUCUGCUGGGCAUCCUUUGGGAAGAUGACCUUUGCUCACAUUGACUUUGGGUGGCUCCAGCUAAAGAAAACUGCCUAACUCAGAUUACAGGUUUUCCAGGGGCAGGCCAUGUCCAAUAACUGGUCACCCAGAAGGUGAGACGCCCUUAUCACCAUUGUGAAGAACUCUUAAGAACUGUCCAGCUUCGAGCUCUCCAUAGGUGAGCUGAGUCUUUCUUUGUGACUGCAUUACAGCUUGCCUUCUACCUCUGUCCAAUGCUGGUUUCAUCCUCUCCCCUACACAUGAAGGUUUGAACUCCAAGCCUACCCCCACAUAAACAUCUUGAAUGCUCAAGAUCUCCACUCAAAAUCAGCCUAACAAGAAACUCAACCUACUCUACCCAGUCCAUUUGCUGCAGCACAAACAUAACCCUUUAGAGCUCUUGGCUUUUGACUCUGUAAGUAAACUUUUUAAUAAAGAAAUACUUAUACAAGUGAACAAAUUGUAAUGAUGCAGCUCAAUGACUUCUCAUGAAGCUCACAUUUCAUUAUAACAAUACUCAGAAGAGGAAACAGAACAUUAAUGGAUCCCCAGGAACACUUUCUGGGCCCUACUCCUCUCUAAAGAAGUGGCUAUUAUGACUUCUACAUAAUAAAUCAUUCUGUCUGUUUUUGAACUUGAUGUAAGUAGAAUCUUACAAUUUGUGCGCUAUUUAUUAUAUGGCUUCUUUCACUCCGCAUUAGGCUCAUGAGAUCCAUCUAUGUUGUUAUACAUAGUUUAGUUCUUUCAAGGCAAUACAAUAUUCAAUUACGUGACUAUGUCAUACAUUAUUCAUCAACCUCUGGACAUUUUUCCCCUCAAUUUUGGCUACUAUGGAUAGUGCUGCAAAUAAUAUAAUUGUAAAUGUCUUUUGGUGAACAUAUGUAUGCAUUCUUUUGAAUAUCCUUUUGUCCUAAGAGAAUUGCUAGAUCGUAAGUCAUGCAUAUUUUCAGCUUUAUGGAUGGCACCAGUUUUCCAAAGUGGUUAAGCCAAUUUAUGUGUUUACUAGUAGUAUGUGAGACACCUGGUGGUUUUUACUUGCUUGCAAACAGUUGAUAUGUUUUACUUUUUAUUUUAUUUUAUUUUUAUUUUUUUUAAAGCCUUUCCAGUGGAUGUGUGGUACUAUUGCAUUACGAUUUUAAUGUGUAUUGUACCAACAGCCAUGAAGCUGAACACAUUUUAAUGUACUAACUGGAUUUUAGAUAUCUUAUUUCCUGAAAAACCUAUGCAGAAUUUUUAUUUAUUAUUUUAAAAUUAUGUGACUGUCCUUUUCUGAUUGAUUUUUAAGAGACAUAUAUUCUCCACGUAAGUCAUUGUUGAAUGUGUCUAAAAUAUCUUUUCCCACUCUGUGGCUUACAAUUUUAUCAGUGCUAACUGUCGAUGAGUAGAAUUUUUAACUUUAAUGUAAUCCAAUUUUGUUUUUGCUAUUAUGGUUGGUAUUUUUUGUGUUCUACUUAAGAAAAUGUUGCCAUGGGAUAUGAAGAACAUAAAGAUAUUCUCC
RNAcentral lists this long non-coding RNA (1769 nucleotides) under Macaca fascicularis (crab-eating macaque). RNAcentral describes it as "lncRNA (ENSMFAG00000048689.1)". Lineage: Eukaryota; Metazoa; Chordata; Mammalia; Primates; Cercopithecidae. The record is from RNAcentral.